GGCGUUCUUACACAUGCAAGUCGAGCGGGAACCCAGGGAGGGGUAACCCUCCUUGGGGGAGAGCGGCGAACGGGUGAGUAUCACGUGGGCAACCUGCCCCAGACAUUGGGAUAACUCCGGGAAACCGGGGCUAAUACCGGAUACCUCGAUCGGGCCGCAUGGUCUGGUCGAGAAAGCUCCGACGGUCUGGGAUGGGCCCGCGGCCUAUCAGCUUGUUGGCGGGGUAACGGCCCACCAAGGCGACGACGGGUAGCUGGUCUGGGAGGACGGCCAGCCACACUGGGACUGAGACACGGCCCAGACUCCUACGGGAGGCAGCAGUGGG
This 325-nucleotide small RNA is filed under the name uncultured bacterium. RNAcentral describes it as "bacterial SSU rRNA". It matches the Rfam family "Bacterial small subunit ribosomal RNA", at positions 47 to 358 of the family's 1533-position model. The record is from RNAcentral.